This 253-nucleotide ribosomal RNA is filed under the name uncultured bacterium. RNAcentral describes it as "partial 16S ribosomal RNA". It matches the Rfam family "Bacterial small subunit ribosomal RNA", at positions 524 to 776 of the family's 1533-position model. The record is from RNAcentral.
UACGGAGGGGGCUAGCGUUGUUCGGAAUUACUGGGCGUAAAGCGCACGUAGGCGGCGAUCUAAGUCAGAGGUGAAAGCCCGGGGCUCAACCCCGGAAUAGCCUUUGAGACUGGAUUGCUAGAAUCCGGGAGAGGUGAGUGGAAUUCCGAGUGUAGAGGUGAAAUUCGUAGAUAUUCGCAAGAACACCAGUGGCGAAGGCGGCUCACUGGCCCGGUACUGACGCUGAGGUGCGAAAGCGUGGGGAGCAAACAGG